UACGUAGGGAGCAAGCGUUGUUCGGAUUUACUGGGCGUAAAGGGCGCGUAGGCGGCCUGUUAAGUCGAACGUGAAAUCCCUGGGCUCAACCCAGGAACUGCGUCCGAUACUGGCAGGCUUGAAUCCGGGAGAGGGAUGUGGAAUUCCAGGUGUAGCGGUGAAAUGCGUAGAUAUCUGGAGGAAUACCGGUGGCGAAGGCGGCAUCCUGGACCGGCAUUGACGCUGAGGAGCGAAAGCCAGGGGAGCAAACGGG
This 253-nucleotide ribosomal RNA is filed under the name uncultured bacterium. Its description in RNAcentral is "partial 16S ribosomal RNA". It matches the Rfam family "Bacterial small subunit ribosomal RNA", at positions 524 to 776 of the family's 1533-position model. The record is from RNAcentral.